Molecule: ribosomal RNA, 892 nt
Filed under: uncultured archaeon
Lineage: Archaea
Description: bacterial SSU rRNA
Rfam family: Archaeal small subunit ribosomal RNA
Source: RNAcentral
CCCGACUGCUAUUUGGGUGAGGAUAAGCCAUGCGAGUUGAAUGGGAUACCUAAAUUUCCCAUGGCAAACUGCUCAGUAACACAUGAUCAACUUGCCCUAUAGAGAAAAAUAACCUCGGGAAACUGAGGAUAAUAUUUCAUAGUUGAAUAGGCUUGGAAAAGUUUUUCAAUAAAAGGGAUAAAAAAAUGGUUUUUAUCUGCUAUAGGAUAGGAUCGUGGACGAUUAUGGUUGUUGGUGAGAUAAUGGCUCACCAAGCCGAUAAUCGAUAGGGGCCGUGAGAGCGGGAGCCCCGAGAUGGGUACUGAGACAACGACCCAGGCCUUACGAGGCGCAGCAGGCGCGGAACCUCCGCAAUACACGAAAGUGUGAGGGGUUACCCAAAGUGUUCAAUUUGAACUGUGGUAGGUGAGUAAUGUCCCCUACUAGAAAGGAGAGGGCAAGGCUGUGCCAGCCGCCGCGGUAAAACCAGCUCUUCAAGUGGUCGGGAUAAUAUUGGGCUUAAAGUGUCCGUAGCCGGUUUAGUAAGUUCCUGGUAAAAUCGGGUAGCUUAACUAUCUGCAUGCUAGGAAUACUGCUAUACUAGAGGGCGGGAGAGGUCUGAGAUACUGCAGGGGUAGGGGUGAAAUCUUAUAAUCCUUGUAGGACCACCAGUGGCGAAGGCGUCAGACUGGAACGCGCCUGACGGUGAGGGACGAAAGCCAGGGGAGCGAACCGGAUUAGGUACCCGGGUAGUCCUGGCCGUAAACGAUGCAUACUAGGUGAUGGUACGGCCAUGAGCCGUAUCAGUGCCGUAGGGAAACCGUUAAGUGUGCCGCCUGGGAAGUACGGUCGCAAGGCUAAAACUUAAAGGAAUUGGCGGGGGAGCACCACAAGGGGUGAAGCCUGCGGUUCA